This 315-nucleotide unclassified non-coding RNA is filed under the name uncultured Thelephoraceae. Its description in RNAcentral is "sequence contains ITS2". Lineage: Eukaryota; Fungi; Basidiomycota; Agaricomycetes; Thelephorales; Thelephoraceae. The record is from RNAcentral.
AACGCACCUUGCGCUCCUUGGUAUUCUGAGGAGCAUGCCUGUUUGAGUGUCAUGAAAUUCUCAACUGCUUUAGCUUUUGUGGUUGAAGUAAAGUUGGAUUUGGAGGAAUAAUUGCUGGCGUAACCUUUUAAGGUUGCUUGUUAGCUCCUCUUAAAUGGAUGAACUUUCCAGUAGUGUAAAAGUAACACCAAUGUGAUAAUUAUCUACGUUGGAUGAACUUGUACAAGGAAAGAUGAAUCUGUCUUGGACUCCCCCUUGACAAAAACAAAUGACAAAUUUGACCUCAAAUCAGGUAGGACUACCCGCUGAACUUAA